This 2579-nucleotide ribosomal RNA is filed under the name Escherichia coli. RNAcentral's name for it is "partial 23S ribosomal RNA". It matches the Rfam family "Bacterial large subunit ribosomal RNA", at positions 375 to 2925 of the family's 2925-position model. The record is from RNAcentral. Lineage: Bacteria; Pseudomonadati; Pseudomonadota; Gammaproteobacteria; Enterobacterales; Enterobacteriaceae.
GUACACAAAAAUGCACAUAUUGUGAGCUCGAUGAGUAGGGCGGGACACGUGGUAUCCUGUCUGAAUAUGGGGGGACCAUCCUCCAAGGCUAAAUACUCCUGACUGACCGAUAGUGAACCAGUACCGUGAGGGAAAGGCGAAAAGAACCCCGGCGAGGGGAGUGAAAAAGAACCUGAAACCGUGUACGUACAAGCAGUGGGAGCCUCUUAAUGGGGUGACUGCGUACCUUUUGUAUAAUGGGUCAGCGACUUAUAUUCUGUAGCAAGGUUAACCGAAUAGGGGAGCCGAAGGGAAACCGAGUCUUAACUGGGCGUUAAGUUGCAGGGUAUAGACCCGAAACCCGGUGAUCUAGCCAUGGGCAGGUUGAAGGUUGGGUAACACUAACUGGAGGACCGAACCGACUAAUGUUGAAAAAUUAGCGGAUGACUUGUGGCUGGGGGUGAAAGGCCAAUCAAACCGGGAGAUAGCUGGUUCUCCCCGAAAGCUAUUUAGGUAGCGCCUCGUGAAUUCAUCUCCGGGGGUAGAGCACUGUUUCGGCAAGGGGGUCAUCCCGACUUACCAACCCGAUGCAAACUGCGAAUACCGGAGAAUGUUAUCACGGGAGACACACGGCGGGUGCUAACGUCCGUCGUGAAGAGGGAAACAACCCAGACCGCCAGCUAAGGUCCCAAAGUCAUGGUUAAGUGGGAAACGAUGUGGGAAGGCCCAGACAGCCAGGAUGUUGGCUUAGAAGCAGCCAUCAUUUAAAGAAAGCGUAAUAGCUCACUGGUCGAGUCGGCCUGCGCGGAAGAUGUAACGGGGCUAAACCAUGCACCGAAGCUGCGGCAGCGACACUAUGUGUUGUUGGGUAGGGGAGCGUUCUGUAAGCCUGUGAAGGUGGCCUGUGAGGGUUGCUGGAGGUAUCAGAAGUGCGAAUGCUGACAUAAGUAACGAUAAAGCGGGUGAAAAGCCCGCUCGCCGGAAGACCAAGGGUUCCUGUCCAACGUUAAUCGGGGCAGGGUGAGUCGACCCCUAAGGCGAGGCCGAAAGGCGUAGUCGAUGGGAAACAGGUUAAUAUUCCUGUACUUGGUGUUACUGCGAAGGGGGGACGGAGAAGGCUAUGUUGGCCGGGCGACGGUUGUCCCGGUUUAAGCGUGUAGGCUGGUUUUCCAGGCAAAUCCGGAAAACCAAGGCUGAGGCGUGAUGACGAGGCACUACGGUGCUGAAGUAACAAAUGCCCUGCUUCCAGGAAAAGCCUCUAAGCAUCAGGUAACAUCAAAUCGUACCCCAAACCGACACAGGUGGUCAGGUAGAGAAUACCAAGGCGCUUGAGAGAACUCGGGUGAAGGAACUAGGCAAAAUGGUGCCGUAACUUCGGGAGAAGGCACGCUGAUAUGUAGGUGAAGCGACUUGCUCGUGGAGCUGAAAUCAGUCGAAGAUACCAGCUGGCUGCAACUGUUUAUUAAAAACACAGCACUGUGCAAACACGAAAGUGGACGUAUACGGUGUGACGCCUGCCCGGUGCCGGAAGGUUAAUUGAUGGGGUUAGCGGUAACGCGAAGCUCUUGAUCGAAGCCCCGGUAAACGGCGGCCGUAACUAUAACGGUCCUAAGGUAGCGAAAUUCCUUGUCGGGUAAGUUCCGACCUGCACGAAUGGCGUAAUGAUGGCCAGGCUGUCUCCACCCGAGACUCAGUGAAAUUGAACUCGCUGUGAAGAUGCAGUGUACCCGCGGCAAGACGGAAAGACCCCGUGAACCUUUACUAUAGCUUGACACUGAACAUUGAGCCUUGAUGUGUAGGAUAGGUGGGAGGCUUUGAAGUGUGGACGCCAGUCUGCAUGGAGCCGACCUUGAAAUACCACCCUUUAAUGUUUGAUGUUCUAACGUUGGCCCCUAAUCGGGGUUGCGGACAGUGUCUGGUGGGUAGUUUGACUGGGGCGGUCUCCUCCUAAAGAGUAACGGAGGAGCACGAAGGUUGGCUAAUCCUGGUCGGACAUCAGGAGGUUAGUGCAAUGGCAUAAGCCAGCUUGACUGCGAGCGUGACGGCGCGAGCAGGUGCGAAAGCAGGUCAUAGUGAUCCGGUGGUUCUGAAUGGAAGGGCCAUCGCUCAACGGAUAAAAGGUACUCCGGGGAUAACAGGCUGAUACCGCCCAAGAGUUCAUAUCGACGGCGGUGUUUGGCACCUCGAUGUCGGCUCAUCACAUCCUGGGGCUGAAGUAGGUCCCAAGGGUAUGGCUGUUCGCCAUUUAAAGUGGUACGCGAGCUGGGUUUAGAACGUCGUGAGACAGUUCGGUCCCUAUCUGCCGUGGGCGCUGGAGAACUGAGGGGGGCUGCUCCUAGUACGAGAGGACCGGAGUGGACGCAUCACUGGUGUUCGGGUUGUCAUGCCAAUGGCACUGCCCGGUAGCUAAAUGCGGAAGAGAUAAGUGCUGAAAGCAUCUAAGCACGAAACUUGCCCCGAGAUGAGUUCUCCCUGACUCCUUGAGGGUCCUGAAGGAACGUUGAAGACGACGACGUUGAUAGGCCGGGUGUGUAAGCGCAGCGAUGCGUUGAGCUAACCGGUACUAAUGAACCGUGAGGCUUAACCUUACAACGCCGAAG